This 1093-nucleotide long non-coding RNA is filed under the name Homo sapiens (human). RNAcentral describes it as "HSALNT0199536". Lineage: Eukaryota; Metazoa; Chordata; Mammalia; Primates; Hominidae. The record is from RNAcentral.
GUGACCACAAACCACAAAUAGGUUCUCACUGUUUCCUGGCAGCCGUCUGUCCUCUCCCACUUUCCAAGACCAUUUCACUUCCUCCUUUCUCUGCAAGUCUCCAACACCUGUUCCCCAGUUCCCAUUCUCAGAUGAGACCUUGCUUCCUAAGUCAUCACAAAACCCAAGGCCCUCAAAAGAGAAGCUGCACCAGGCCCCACCACAGAGGCACACAUGCCUGCACCUGGACCGCUGCUCAGCCUUCCCUGGGGUCCCUCCAGUAUUCUCAGCAAGCUUUGUCCCCGCCUUCUGCAAAAGCUGUCUUGCUGGUCAGCAGUGACAUCCAUGCUGCUAAAGCCAGUGGAAAUGCUGGGCCUCAUCUUCCUAGAAGCUGCACUUGACCAUGGCCUCCCCAGGCUCUCGUGCCCGCGUUCAGCCCUCACCACCUACCUCUGUGUCCUGAUCAGCUCCCAGGCCAGUACCUCAUCAUCGUGAGUCUGUUCUACAUGAGAGUCCCGCACCGUCUGAAUGCGCUGUGUCUGGCCUGGAUGCUGCACCCUGAUUCCUCAGGGUAACAGUCAUUCACCUUUGGCUGCUCAGCCUCCAAGCCACACGCCAUGGUCAGCCUCGGCCACUAUCACAGCUGGUCCUGGAGGCUGCAGGGCUCCCUCUCUUGGACCCAGUACUCCCACUACUCCCUCCCCAACUGAUAUGGUUUGGCUGUGUCUCCAUCCAAGUCUCAUCUUAAAUUGUAGUUCCCAAAAAUUGCACGUGUUGUGGGAGGGAGUUGUGGGAGAUAAUUUAAUCCUGGGGGGCGGUUUUCCCCAUACUGUUCUCGUGUUAGUGAAUAAGUCUCACCAGAUGUGGUGAUUUCAUAAGUGGUCUCCCCUUUUGCUUGGUUUUCAUUCUCUCUCGUCUGCGCCAUGUAAGAUGUGCCUUUGGCUUUCCACCAUGAUUUUGAGGCCUCCCCAGCCACGUGGAGCUGUGAGUUAAUUAAAUCUCUUUUUUUUAAAUAAAUUACCCAGUAUCAUGUAUGUCUUUAUUAGCGUGAGAACAGACUAAUACACCAACUACACGCACACACUACUGUGGCCUCCUGGACUUCUGAGUCCCA